AGAUACUUCCAAAACCAGUUUGCAGGUGCCUAUGUUACCGAGCAGGUGACGCAACCAAGCUCAAGGAGGAGCUCGAUGAAGAUCUUGCCCUUUGUGUUGUUUCAUUCUAGUUGAUCAGUAGUGGAGCCCAGUUGGGGUCGAUCGGGGACAUUUGUCGCAUUUGGGGUUCUUCUUUUAUUUUGGUUCCGUAGUCGGACCUUGAUUGUAUCUGGAUGAUGUAAUGCUUUAUUCAUGUAAUUGUGUGAAGUGGCGAUUGUAAGCCAACUAUGUAUCUCUUUCCCUUAUGUAUUACAUGGGUUGUGUGAAGAUUACCUCACUUGCGACAUUGCUUUCAAUGCGGUUAUGCCUCUAAGUCGUGCUUCGACACGUGGGAGAUAUAGCCGCAUCGAGGGCGUUACAAGUUGGUAUCAGAGCUGACCCUCGCGGUUACACGGAUGGUUGCGGACAGGUGCGUGGUCAUGUUGUUCAUGACGUUUGUGACCCGUCGUGGCACACGACAUGGCACAUGUACUGGACUGGAAGCACAGACGUAAAUGCCAAGAGGGAACGUUCUUGUGGCCCGACGAGGACGUCGGUUCCUCUAAGUGGGGGUGUAUGUGAUGGCCUGGCUUAUUAGGGAUGAUAGACUACUCAUAUCAAUAAGGAAUUCCUUCUUUUCCGGGAUCCCAUUCGGACAGAACUCCAAAGUUAAGCGUGCUCAGCUUGGAGUAGUGUCAGGAUGGGUGACCGACCGGGAAGUUGCUCCCGGGUGCGCACGAGUGAGGACAAAGUGCGCAGAAAAGACUAGUAUUUAUCUGUGAGGCCAGUCUAGAUCCCGCCAGGAGUAACAACCACCGGCGGGUGUGUCCAGGGCGUUUCAAGUUGGUAAUCAGAGCCUUCCCCGACCUUAGGAGCCCCACUGCUUGAUCGUUUUUAGCGGCCGAGUUGUGUCUAGAAAAAUGUUUUGAGUCAUUUAGGAAUUAUAUAUCGGAGAGUUUAGGAAUUCUUUUUACUCCCCAGUCUCUUCGUCGCUCUGGUGAGGCAUCCUGACGUAGAGUUUUGACUCUUCUCUUCUCAAAUUUCACUAAAAAUUAUUUUAGGAUCACGCGGGUAUCUUGGAAUCGUUCCGAUGGUUUUAUGAUGAGAACAUUGUCUUGGUGCCUCCUGUCAGGGGUUUAGUGGAAGUGUCCCGGGGAGUUGAGCUCUGAGGUGUUGUCGUCAUAAUUUUAUCGUUGCAGUUCUGGAAUACCUGAGUUUAGUACGCCGACAUCAAAAAUCUCUUUUAUGCAGUUCGUUGGUGAGAUAACCCGAUAACCCAGUACUGAGGUGAGUACGGGAGUAUUGCCAUAACUUGUAUAACGGAUGCUUUUCGAAGGUUGAGGUAGACGAUUUCCGAAGGUUUCUUGGUUAUGUGUUGAAGGAUGGACACAGCUGGAUGUAGGAUUUGUUAGUUUUGGGUGAGAUAUUAUGCUUCCCCUGUAUCCCCAACACCUGAUUGCAUAACCGGAAAAUUUUGGGAGUUCCAUAGGUGGGAAAUCAAGUAGCUCUUAGGAUAUCUUUCCGACGGAUGUAUGAUAUGAAAUUGGGGUUCGACGUCUAGUGGUCCGCCUAUUCACGGUUGGUUUUACAGUGGUCUCGUUGUGUCUUAAAGAGUCCUUGGCUAUGCCGACUCGGGGACGCUUCGUAUGUCAUGUGCACUGCCUUGUACAUGAUGGUGCUGUACACUCGAGCCCGUGUAGGCCCCACCACGAAAACUUCGGACGAAAUCUCUAUCAUAUAUUUGUUCCGGCUUAUUCCGCAAGCCAAUCCUUGGUUUUGUUUUGAGUUGUGGUAUUCGAGUUGCUUCGAAGUCAAAUGUUGAAUCCAUACCUUUCCUAAAUGGUGUUCUCAUAUUGCUAUGUGAAUACUAAUCAUUCUGGAUAAUCGAGAUUGUCUUGUCAAUCCUUUUCAACCGGUGUGUUUCUCUUCAAGUGGAUCCGAUCACCUCAACAUCAGCAAGACCAAUUAUCAUUUCUUCUCAACGGUGUUUGUUUCAUCCGUCUCCAAGUUGCCUUUUUUCCCGCCCUCCCUCCCUUUUGUUUUUCUUCAAGGACUGAGAUUUCUUCAUCAAGUAUCCAUUUAUUCAUGUGAAGUCUCUCCAUUCUUUUCCUUCAAUGUUCUUAUCCGGUGAUUCUCACGUAUAUUCUAACGGAGCUUCAAGUUCGUCAUUCUUCUUUCUUUUCUUCUCCGGUGGAUUCAAGUCAAGAUUUGUCGAUUAUAUCCCCUUUUCUCGUUUCAAAUACCUUCUCUUGACGAUGCUCCUCAUAUUCAUUCACUUCUCGCUAUUUGUUAUUCCGGAGUGCUCAAGAUAUCUCGAAGAUUCGUGUUUCCACUCUGCAUUCGUUCAAGCUCUUUCGAGAUUGGUAUCUCAUUCAAGUCAUUUAAUUCAACCGGUGCAACAUCUCUUUUAAAUCUUUUCAACGGUGUUCUUUUGAGUGGGCCCUAACCCACAGGUCUUUUCCCAGGAUCUUACCUGACUCUUCUAUUUUCCCAGAGCUAUCCUAAAUUCUUCUCCAAGUUUGACGUAAGAAUGAGUUAUCAUCAGUCAAAUGCUUUUUCUCCAAGAUCUUUCAAAUUCUUUUCAUAGUUGGCUCAACCUCUUCGCUUUUGAUUCUUCCGGUGUGCCUCAAUAAUUCUUGGUGGUGUGUCUCGUUGUCAUUCUCAUCAUUUGAAGACCGAAGAAGAGUUUCUCUUUAAUCUUGCUCUAUUCUCUUCAAGAUUCAUGGUGCUAGCUUGUUGCCAUCCUCUCAUAAUUGUUUUCGAUUGUGAGAAUCUUUUUCACCCAUCAGGAGAUAUUCAAGAGUCUUCUCGGUUCGAUUAUCCGGAGUCCAUCAAUUCAGGUUUAUUCAUUCUCAGCCGUCAGUUAUCAUUCUCCUAUCUUGCCGGUGCAUCUAUCGAAUAUCCUCUAAUCAGUUCUUGAUCUCUUUGUUCUCAUGUAUCUAGUUUGUCUCAAGCACCUUCGUUCAUUUGCUAAUUCUUACCGGUGAUGCACCCCUACUUCGAUCAUUUUCAAUUCUUACGGUGGUUCUUUCAAGAUCUCUCUUCCUUGUUCAUCAUAUCAAUUCAUUUGUUGUUCCAAUCCUACCGGUGGUUCAUUGAAGACCUUCCCAAGUUUGCGCUAUAUCUCUCUUAAUCUUGUCUACGAGAAUAAGUAAUAUGCCAAAUCCGUUUGAUUGUCAUCUAUUUAAUUGGUGAAGGAUAAGCAUAAUGUAAUUCUUAUUCUUGUUUCAUCGAGUUUGUUCAAUUCCUGCUUUCCGUACUGGUUCAUCAUACUUAUUCUUGGUUUCAAGUGCUCUUCUUUCUUUCCCGGAGUGCCAAGUUCUCUCAAUCAUUUGUCACGGAGAUCUCUAUCUAAAUCAUUGCAAGGCUCAAAUCUUAUUCUUUUCAUCAUUCAAUUAGUUUGGAUCAUUCUUUUGUUUACCGGAGUUCUUCAUGGAGGUUCUACAUGAUGGUUCAUCAAGGAUUUAAUUCCCUUCUCAAAGUUUUCAUCGAGAUUCUUUCCUAAGGAGCUCAAGCUUUCUUCAUAUGGUAAUCCGGAGUGCAAUUCCUUCUACCAUAUUUUGGAGGUGGUAUUAGGUCAUUCUUGAUAAUUUGAGUUCAUGUUCCAUGAUUCACAUGUUGUUAAGAAUGAGUUAUUUUUAAAUCCAUCAACCUCGUUGUUGGAGUUAUCUUGUGUCAUAUUUCACCUAAAAGCCUUCCAUUGGGAAUGUUGCUAUUUGUGGUGCUUGCCAAUGAUCCAAGUUAUCUCUUUAUCAUCUUGGUGGAAGAAGUGUUCAUCUCUUCGUCGAUCUAAAGCUAGCAAUCGUUUCCGUUAGUGGCCGGUUGUCACCUCAUAAUUUUGAGAUGUUUUCCAUAAGCCCACUACAAGCUUAUUCGUUUCGUUGUUGGGUUUUUCCCAACAACCCCGUUGUAACCUUCUUGGAAGGGUGCUUUCCAAGCUCAAUUGUGGCAGAAGUUGCCAUUUCCCCCUCCAUUCUGUUAUUCCAAUGACCUAUCUUCUAUACUUUCUUCCGGAGGCAUUGUGACGUUGCUCUUUUCACUCACCAUCUCGAUUCGUAAGGAUCGUGUUCUUUUCUUGCUUAUCCAUUUAACCGGAGUGUCGUGUUUUCAUUCGAGUUCUCUAAUCUUAUCAAGUUUUCCCUCCUUCCUCAACUGGAGAGCUGUCUGAAAUCCUUCUUACCCAUUGUGCCAUUCUUUCAAUAGUUCCGGAGGCAGUGUGUUGUUGAUUUCAUCAAGUAACAUCCCAUCUUCUCAAGUUCAUGUUCUAUUCCUUCCAUGUUCAACCGGAGUACUGCCCGAAUUCUUCCCCUCUCAUCUUGUUUUAACCGGAGUGGUUUCGAAUUCUAUCUUGUCCAUUAAACUCUUGAUUCAUGUCUUCGCAACCUUCAAGUUCUCGUAAUGUUCCUUGUUCCUCUUUCUAACGGAUUGUUUGCAAUCUCGUUCAUCUCCUUUGUAUUCUUUCUUUCAAUUUGUUCAACCUCUCAAGGUUCUUUGGUUUCACUCAUUGGUCAAAGAAGCAACUUAGUUUUACCUCUUCUCUUCCUCUUCCAUUUCUCUCCGGUGCCAUCCUAGAUCUCGGGACGAGAUCCUCUCGUAGUGGUGGAGUGUUGUAACGCCCCGAGACCGACGAUCAGAAGACUUCCAGCUAUUCCGAGUUCCUCCGCAGCCCACCUAACCCUCCUACCUAAGCCGGCCCAAGGCCCAGCCGCCUCUAACCCUAGCCCAGCCCCCACACACCCCAUCUCUCUCCUCGUUCCUCCUCCAGCGCCGCAGCCUCCUCGCCCGAUCCCCUCGCCUCCGCCCCUUCCUCCUCGCAGCGCCCGAACCCUCCUCUCGAGCACGCCUCUCAUGGUGCCCGCAUCAGCCGGCCCCCUUCCUCUCCUCCUCUAUGGCGUCUCCCCUUCUCGAGCACCCCCGCGACCACGCCCCUGCCGAACCCAGCGCCAGGCCCCCGCUCCUCCCUCCUCACGCGAUCCCCUCUCCUGUUCCCCUCGCCGCCUCCUCCCUCCACCGGCGCCAUCCAUGCCUGUCGCCCCUCCGGUCGCCGUGAGCAGGAGCGCCGUGCCCAUCCGCCCUGCUGGUUUUGCUCAACUCCGGCGCCGCCGCAGCCAGAGCCCCGGGCCGUCCUCGUCGCCUUGCUCCCCCGCGUUGCCUCUGCCAGCACUGUGCUGCUGCGUGCAUCCGCCAAGCCCCUCUGCCCUGUUUCGCCUCGGCCUCGAUCGAGGAGGACGAGCAGCGUUGCUGCCUGCUCGAUCUGCCUGCACGCGCGCCUCGCGCGUUGACUGCGACCAGCUCCAUGCCCGAGCGAGCACGCUCCUGAUCCCGAUGCUCAGGUCCGCCAAGCAUCGUCUCCGGGAGUUUUUCCCAAGUACCACUACGGUCGCCAUCCGCCAAGUUCCAUCAAGCCGAUCGUGUACGUCUACCGUCACCGUGGGUUUUCAUCAAGUUCGGCUACAGCACAAAGAUACGUGCAACUACGUGGAUUCGCCGAGUACGACUACUCAUGGGACCCGUCAAGUUCAUCUACGGGAGACCGAACGACUACUUCCACUGCGCCCGAAUACCGUGGAUGCGACAAGUUCCUCUCCGGACAUGUACGACUACCGUUGCCAAGAUCGCGAGUACCUCUACCGUCGCCAUGAACAACUACUUCCCUCGACGACCCGUGAACGACUACUUCCUCUCCGAACCGGUCCGCUUCGAAAACGCACGCUUCGAAGGUAUAACGCAGAGACGACGCCCGUGACUUAAUGCAUGUGUUGAAUGAGAUGCUCGAGUUUUGCACCGUGAUCGAAUCGUCCUUGCGAUGCCCCUCUUUUGCCGUGCCACUAACCUGUGGGAACCCGGUAACCGGGAGCACCCCACCAUCUUGCAUGACUCGCUCACGUCACGCCUCCUUUUGCACCGGUAUCUCUGUGAGCUACCGGAACCGAUAUGUUGCCGUGGCAUCAUUUUCGGAUAUGUUGCCGUGGCACCAUUUUUGUUUCACCGCCGUGGCACCUUUUUCCUUCCGCCAUGGCGACAAAUGCCUCGUAUCAUGCUCAUGUCAACAUUUUCAUAAAAUUGCAUAAAACUUGUAUAUGUCAUCCGCAUCAUGAUAACAACAUUUAAAAUGUUUAAAAUUGUUGCUUGCCUUAAAUUGCUAAAUGAUAUGGGGAUUCUCCGGAAUUGUUGUUUGUUGCUUCCGGCCUCAUUUAACCUUGACUAGAUAGGUAGUUUUCAUUUGCUUCACCCUCUUGCCAUGCUUAACAACAUUUAAUAUUGUUGGGUACAUAAACGGGAUCAAACUAAAUAACUUAUCGUGGUGUUUCGUCAAUAUGCAGUUGCAUAUUGAGCUUCAUUUAAUUUGUAGGAUUGUUUGUGCACUUUGCCAUGCCAUGCCUCAUUAAACCGGAUAUGCAUCAUACUUGUUUGUGCAUCAUGACUUGUUUAUGUGAUGGUUGUUUACUAUGUUGUGUGCUUCUUUUCCGGUGAUUGCUUCUUUGGGUUGGUUCCGAUAACGUCGCGUUUGUGAGGAUCCGUUCAACUACGUCCGUUUGUCUUCUUCAUGGACUCGUUCUUCUUCCUUGCGGGAUCUCAGGCAAGAUGAUCAUACCCUCGAAAUCACUACUAUCUUUGCUAUGCUAGUUUGCUCGCUCUUUUGCCAUGCCAAUGCUACGAUGCCUACCAUUUGCUUGUCAGCCUCCCAAAUUGCCAUGUCAACCUCUAACCCACCAUGUCCUAGCAAACCGUUGAUUGGCUAUGUUACCGCUUUGCUCAGCCCCUCUUAUAGCGUUGUUAGUUGCAGGUGAAGAUUGAAGUUUGUUCCUUGUUGGAACAUGGAGAUGUUGUUCCUUGUUGGAACAUGUUUACUUGUUGGGAUAUCACAAUAUAUCUUAUUUAAUUAAUGCAUCUAUAUACUUGGUAAAGGGUGGAAGGCUCGGCCUUAUGCCUGGUGUUUUGUUCCACUCUUGCCGCCCUAGUUUCCGUCAUAUCGGUGUUAUGUUCCCGGAUUUUGCGUCCCUUACGCUGUUGGGCUAUAAUGGGAACCCCUUGACAGUUCGCCUUAAGUAAAGCUCUUCCAGCAAUGCCCAACAUUGGUUUUACCAUUCGCCACCUAGCCUUUUCUUUCCCUUGGGUUCUGCAGACUCAAGGGUCAUCUUAUUUAACCCCCCCGGGCCAGUGCUCCUCUGAGUGUUGGUCCGAACUGGGCAGCCUGCGGGGCCACCUCGGGGAAACUUGAGGGUUGGUUUUACUCGUAGCUUGACCUAUCUGAGUGUGCCCUGAGAAAGAGAUAUGUGCAGCUCCUAUCGGGAUUUGUCGGCACAUUCGGGCGGUGUUGCUGGUUUAGUUUUACCCUGUCGAAAUGUCUUGUUGUACCGGGAUACCGAGUCUGAUCGGAGUGUCUCGGGUGGAGGUCUAUUCCUUCGUUGACCGUGAGAGCUUGUCAUGGGCUAAGUUGGGACACCCCUGCAGGGAUUUGAACUUUCGAAAGCCGUGCCCGCGGUUAUGGGCAGAUGGGAAUUUGUUAACGUCCGGUUGUAGAAAACCCGAAGUUGACCUUAAUUAAAAUACAUCAACCGUGUGUGUAACCGUGAUGGUCUCUUUCCGGCGGAGUCCGGGAAGUGAACACGGUGUUGGAGUUAUGCUUGACGUAGGUUGCUAUAGGAUCACUUCUUGAUCAUACUUUUAUCGACCGUGCUUUGCCUUCUCUUCUCGCUCUCAUUUGCGUAUGUUAUCCACCAUAUAUGCUAGUCGCUUGCUGCAGCUCCACCUCAUUACUCCAUCCUUCCUAUAAGCUUAAAUAGUCUUGAUCUCGCGGGUGCGAGAUUGCUGAGUCCCCGUGGCUCACAGAUACUUCCAAAACCAGUUUGCAGGUGCCUAUGUUACUGAGCAGGUGACGCAACCAAGCUCAAGGAGGAGCUCGAUGAAGAUCUUGCCCUUUGUGUUGUUUCAUUCUAGUUGAUCAGUAGUGGAGCCCAGUUGGGGUCGAUCGGGGACAUUUGUCGCAUUUGGGGUUCUUCUUUUAUUUUGGUUCCGUAGUCGGACCUUGAUUGUAUCUGGAUGAUGUAAUGCUUUAUUCAUGUAAUUGUGUGAAGUGGCGAUUGUAAGCCAACUAUGUAUCUCUUUCCCUUAUGUAUUACAUGGGUUGUGUGAAGAUUACCUCACUUGCGACAUUGCUU
RNAcentral lists this long non-coding RNA (8180 nucleotides) under Triticum aestivum (bread wheat). RNAcentral's name for it is "long non-coding RNA (TAES_LNC020186)". Lineage: Eukaryota; Viridiplantae; Streptophyta; Magnoliopsida; Poales; Poaceae. The record is from RNAcentral.